AAUAGAUACCCUGGUAGUCCACGCCGUAAACGAUGGAUGCUAGCUAUUGGGGGGAAUCGACCCCCUCCGAAGCGAAGCUAACGCGUUAAGCAUCCCGCCUGAGUAGUACGAGCGCAAGCUUAAAACUCAAAGGAAUUGACGGGGACCCGCACAAGCGGUGGAGCGUGUGGUUUAAUUCGAUGGUAAACGAAGAACCUUACCAAGGUUUGACAUCCCGGUAGCCGUUCUCCGAAAGGAGAAUUUCAUUUAGUUGGACCGGUGACAGGUGAUGCAUGGCCGUCGUCAGCUCGUGUCGUGAGAUGUUGGGUUAAGUCCCGCAACGAGCGCAACCCUUAUGAUUUAGUUGGAUUUUUCUAAACAGACUGCCCUGGUAACAGGGAGGAAGGAGGGGAUGAUGUCAGGUCAGUAUUUCCCUUACACCUUGGGGCGACACACGCGCUACAAUGGCCGGUACAAUGGGCAGCUAAGCCGCGAGGUGGAGCAAAUCCCAUCAAAGCCGGUCCCAGUUCGGAUUGCAGGCUGAAACCCGCCUGCAUGAAGCCGGAAUCGCUAGUAA
This 556-nucleotide ribosomal RNA is filed under the name uncultured bacterium. Its description in RNAcentral is "bacterial SSU rRNA". It matches the Rfam family "Bacterial small subunit ribosomal RNA", at positions 777 to 1341 of the family's 1533-position model. The record is from RNAcentral.